Molecule: ribosomal RNA, 547 nt
Filed under: Cyanothece sp. IBRC_M50155
Lineage: Bacteria; Bacillati; Cyanobacteriota; Cyanophyceae; Gomontiellales; Cyanothecaceae
Description: bacterial SSU rRNA
Rfam family: Bacterial small subunit ribosomal RNA
Source: RNAcentral
GUAGUAUUAGCCGUAAACGAUGGAUACUAGGCGUGGUUUGUAUCGACCCAAGCCGUGCCGAAGCUAACGCGUUAAGUAUCCCGCCUGGGGAGUACGCACGCAAGUGUGAAACUCAAAGGAAUUGACGGGGGCCCGCACAAGCGGUGGAGGAUGUGGUUUAAUUCGAUGCAACGCGAAGAACCUUACCAGGGCUUGACAUCCCGCGAAUCUUGCCGAAAGGCGAGAGUGCCUUCGGGAACGCGGAGACAGGUGGUGCAUGGCUGUCGUCAGCUCGUGUCGUGAGAUGUUGGGUUAAGUCCCGCAACGAGCGCAACCCUCGUCCUUAGUUGCCAGCAUUAAGUUGGGAACUCUAGGGAGACUGCCGGUGACAAACCGGAGGAAGGUGAGGAUGACGUCAAGUCAGCAUGCCCCUUAUGCUCUGGGCGACACACGUCCUACAAUGGUCGGGACAAAGGGAAGCGAACUCGCAAGAGCCAGCAAAUCCCAUCAAACUCGGCCUCAGUUCAGAUAGCAGGCUGCAACUCUGCCUGCUUGAAGGAGGAAUCGC